RNAcentral lists this ribosomal RNA (255 nucleotides) under uncultured bacterium. RNAcentral describes it as "partial 16S ribosomal RNA". It matches the Rfam family "Bacterial small subunit ribosomal RNA", at positions 793 to 1055 of the family's 1533-position model. The record is from RNAcentral.
GUCCACGCCGUAAACGAUGGAUACUAGCUGUUGGGGGCAACUUCAGUGGCUAAGCGAAAGUGAUAAGUAUCCCACCUGGGGAGUACGUUCGCAAGAAUGAAACUCAAAGGAAUUGACGGGGGCCCGCACAAGCGGUGGAGCAUGUGGUUUAAUUCGAUGAUACGCGAGGAACCUUACCAAGGCUUAAAUGUAGAUUGACCGGACUGGAAACAGACCUUUCGCAAGACAAUUUACAAGGUGCUGCAUGGUUGUCGU